GAUGAAGAACGUAGCGAAAUGCGAUACUUGGUGUGAAUUGCAGAAUCCCGUGAACCAUCGAGUCUUUGAACGCAAGUUGCGCCCGAAGCCAUUAGGCCGAGGGCACGCCUGCCUGGGCGUCACACGUCGUUGCCCCCCCAUCUACUCCUUCGGGAUUGCGGGGGGCGGAUGAUGGCCUCCCGUGCGCCUCGCCGCGCGGUUGGCAUAAAUGCCAAGUCCUCGGCGACGCACGCCACGACAAUCGGUGGUUGCGAAACCUCGGUUGCCCGUCGUGUGCGGUCGUCGCGCAUCGAGGGCUCGAAAAAAUUGCCGGGUUCCGGCUCGGCUUUCAACGCGACCCCAGGUCAGGCGGGGUUACCCGCUGAAUUUAAGCAUAUCAAUAAGAGGAGGA
RNAcentral lists this unclassified non-coding RNA (391 nucleotides) under soil metagenome. RNAcentral describes it as "partial contains 5.8S ribosomal RNA, internal transcribed spacer 2, and large subunit ribosomal RNA". The stretch from base 1 to 122 matches the Rfam family "5.8S ribosomal RNA", at positions 35 to 154 of the family's 154-position model. The record is from RNAcentral.